Leptopilina boulardi is the source of this 221-nucleotide small nucleolar RNA. RefSeq annotates it as small nucleolar RNA U3. The transcript has a single exon. The record is from RefSeq and is a predicted model, not a curated record. Lineage: Eukaryota; Metazoa; Arthropoda; Insecta; Hymenoptera; Figitidae.
AAGAUCAUACUUCACAGGAUCAUUUCUGUAGUAUAUCUUCACGUCCUCUCUACCCAAAAGUGGAGUCGAUGCAGCCACGAUGAUGAGCAGUAGCUCUUCUCUCUGAGCGUGAGAGACUGCUGGCGAGAUCGAUUUUUUCAUCGAUCUUUCCAGUACUCGAGGAUCGUUCGUCUUCUGCAGUUUGUGCAGAAGGUAAUGGGAGUUUGGGCGUUCUGAGUGGU